Molecule: ribosomal RNA, 485 nt
Filed under: uncultured bacterium
Lineage: Bacteria
Description: partial 16S ribosomal RNA
Rfam family: Bacterial small subunit ribosomal RNA
Source: RNAcentral
AUUGAACGCUGGCGGCAGGCUUAACACAUGCCAGUCGAGCGGGGAAACGUAGCUUGCUACUUUACCUAGCGGCGGACGGGUGAGUAAUGCUUAGGAAUCUGCCUAUUAGUGGGGGACAACAUCUCGAAAGGGAUGCUAAUACCGCAUACGUCCUACGGGAGAAAGCAGGGGACCUUCGGGCCUUGCGCUAAUAGAUGAGCCUAAGUCGGAUUAGCUAGUUGGUGGGGUAAAGGCCUACCAAGGCGACGAUCUGUAGCGGGUCUGAGAGGAUGAUCCGCCACACUGGGACUGAGACACGGCCCAGACUCCUACGGGAGGCAGCAGUGGGGAAUAUUGGACAAUGGGGGGAACCCUGAUCCAGCCAUGCCGCGUGUGUGAAGAAGGCCUUUUGGUUGUAAAGCACGUUAAGCGAGGAGGAGGCUACCGAGAUUAAUACUCUUGGAUAGUGGACGUUACUCGCAGAAUAAGCACCGGCUAACUCUGUG